UGGGGAAUCUUCCGCAAUGGACGAAAGUCUGACGGAGCAACGCCGCGUGUAUGAUGAAGGUCUUCGGAUUGUAAAGUACUGUCAUUGGGGAAGAACGGUUUUCUUGAGAAUAUUGAGAAGACAUGACGGUACCCAAGGAGGAAGCCCCGGCUAACUACGUGCCAGCAGCCGCGGUAAUACGUAGGGGGGCAAGCGUUGUCCGGAAAUUAUUGGGCGUAAAGGGCGCGUAGGCGGGCCUUUAAGUCCGGUGUGAAAGAUCAGGGCUCAACCCUGAGAGUGCAUCGGAAACUGGAGGCCUUGAGGACAGGGAGAGGAAAGUGGAAUUCCACGUGUAGCGGUGAAAUGCGUAGAUAUGUGGAGGAACACCAGUGGCGAAGGCGACUUUCUGGACUGUAAGCUGACGCUGAGGCGCGAAAGCGUGGGGAGCAAACAGGAUUAG
This 439-nucleotide ribosomal RNA is filed under the name uncultured bacterium. RNAcentral's name for it is "partial 16S ribosomal RNA". It matches the Rfam family "Bacterial small subunit ribosomal RNA", at positions 355 to 781 of the family's 1533-position model. The record is from RNAcentral.